This is a long non-coding RNA of Girardinichthys multiradiatus, 419 nucleotides long. RefSeq lists it as uncharacterized. The transcript is spliced from 3 exons. The record is from RefSeq and is a predicted model, not a curated record. Lineage: Eukaryota; Metazoa; Chordata; Actinopteri; Cyprinodontiformes; Goodeidae.
ACCCGCUGGGGGCUUUUCAUUAAGACUACAGGAUAAAUGAACGGCUGUUCUGUUAUACUGUGAACCUCGUUUUAUGUUUGAAGUGAUUUUAUAGGGGAGAGUAUCCGCAGAGCAGUGAACCUGGUGAACCACAACAUAGAAAGAAAAACUUGUGCCAUUUCUGCUCAACACAAUGUGAGGUGUUCAGCAGACGAAGAGAAACAGACGAGUUAAAUGGAAGCACUUAGGAGUGUGAGGACAGCCUGUAUCUGUAGUAGAGAACCAGACAAGGCAGAGGCAUACAUCAGGUCAUAGGGGAAGAGAUGCCGAGACUGGAGACGAGGCUCGCUGAUUAAAUGUCAAGCAGUGGAGCUCCUAGGUCUGUCUCUGGUUCUGCCAUAGCUAUUAAUGCCAGACUCUGUGAAAGAAGAGCAGCAGGA